This 492-nucleotide ribosomal RNA is filed under the name uncultured bacterium. Its description in RNAcentral is "partial 16S ribosomal RNA". It matches the Rfam family "Bacterial small subunit ribosomal RNA", at positions 29 to 507 of the family's 1533-position model. The record is from RNAcentral.
AGUGAACGCUGGCGGUAGGCCUAACACAUGCAAGUCGAACGGCAGCACAGUAAGAGCUUGCUCUUAUGGGUGGCGAGUGGCGGACGGGUGAGGAAUACAUCGGAACCUACUUUUUCGUGGGGGAUAACGUAGGGAAACUUACGCUAAUACGGCAUACCACCUACGGGUGAAAGCAGGGGAUCUUCGGAACUUGCGCGAGUGAAUGAGCAGAUGUCGGAUUAGCUAGUGGGGGGGGGAAAGGCCCACCAAGGAGACGGUCGGUAGCUGGUAUGAGAGGAUGAUCCACCACCUUGGAGCUGAGACUGGGCCGCGACACCUGCGGGAGGAAGCAGUGGAGAAUAUUAGACAAGGCGGGAGAGCCUAAUCCAGGACAAUCGGGUGAAUGAAGAAGGACUCAGGGUUGGAAAGCCCUUUUGUUGUGAAAGAAGUGCAGCAGUUUUGUACGGCGCGGUACUGACGGUACCCGAAGAAUAAGCACCGGCUAACUUCGUG